GACGAACGCUGGCGGCGUGCUUAACACAUGCAAGUCGAGCGGAAAGGCUCCUUCGGGGGUACUCGAGCGGCGAACGGGUGAGUAACACGUGAGUAAUCUGCCCUUGGCUUCGGGAUAGCCACCGGAAACGGUGAUUAAUACCGGAUACGACAACUUCUCGCAUGGGAUGGUUGUGGAAAGUUUUUUCGGCCAGGGAUGUGCUCGCGGCCUAUCAGCUUGAUGGUGAGGUAAUGGCUCACCAUGGCUUCGACGGGUAGCCGGCCUGAGAGGGUGACCGGUCACACUGGGACUGAGACACGGCCCAGACUCCUACGGGGGGCAGCAGUGGGGAAUAUUGGACAAUGGGCGGAAGCCUGAUCCAGCAACGCCGCGUGAGGGAUGACGGCCUUCGGGUUGUAAACCUCUUUCGGUAGGGACGAAGCGCAAGUGACGGUACCUACUAAAGAAGCACCGGCCAACUACGUGCCAGCAGCCGCAGUAA
RNAcentral lists this ribosomal RNA (481 nucleotides) under uncultured bacterium. RNAcentral describes it as "partial 16S ribosomal RNA". It matches the Rfam family "Bacterial small subunit ribosomal RNA", at positions 28 to 523 of the family's 1533-position model. The record is from RNAcentral.